This 1369-nucleotide ribosomal RNA is filed under the name uncultured bacterium. Its description in RNAcentral is "bacterial SSU rRNA". It matches the Rfam family "Bacterial small subunit ribosomal RNA", at positions 28 to 1381 of the family's 1533-position model. The record is from RNAcentral.
GACGAACGCUGGCGGCGUGCCUAAUACAUGCAAGUAGAACGCUGAAGAGAGGAGCUUGCUCUUCUUGGAUGAGUUGCGAACGGGUGAGUAACGCGUAGGUAACCUGCCUUGUAGCGGGGGAUAACUAUUGGAAACGAUAGCUAAUACCGCAUAACAAUGGAUGACACAUGUCAUUUAUUUGAAAGGGGCAAUUGCUCCACUACAAGAUGGACCUGCGUUGUAUUAGCUAGUAGGUGAGGUAACGGCUCACCUAGGCGACGAUACAUAGCCGACCUGAGAGGGUGAUCGGUCACACUGGGACUGAGACACGGCCCAGACUCCUACGGGAGGCAGCAGUAGGGAAUCUUCGGCAAUGGGGGCAACCCUGACCGAGCAACGCCGCGUGAGUGAAGAAGGUUUUCGGAUCGUAAAGCUCUGUUGUAAGUCAAGAACGAGUGUGAGAGUGGAAAAUUCACACUGUGACGGUAGCUUACCAGAAAGGGACGGCUAACUACGUGCCAGCAGCCGCGGUAAUACGUAGGUCCCGAGCGUUGUCCGGAUUUAUUGGGCGUAAAGCGAGCGCAGGCGGUUUGAUAAGUCUGAAGUUAAAGGCUGUGGCUCAACCAUAGUUCGCUUUGGAAACUGUCAAACUUGAGUGCAGAAGGGGAGAGUGGAAUUCCAUGUGUAGCGGUGAAAUGCGUAGAUAUAUGGAGGAACACCGGUGGCGAAAGCGGCUCUCUGGUCUGUAACUGACGCUGAGGCUCGAAAGCGUGGGGAGCGAACAGGAUUAGAUACCCUGGUAGUCCACGCCGUAAACGAUGAGUGCUAGGUGUUGGAUCCUUUCCGGGAUUCAGUGCCGCAGCUAACGCAUUAAGCACUCCGCCUGGGGAGUACGACCGCAAGGUUGAAACUCAAAGGAAUUGACGGGGGCCCGCACAAGCGGUGGAGCAUGUGGUUUAAUUCGAAGCAACGCGAAGAACCUUACCAGGUCUUGACAUCCCGAUGCUAUUUCUAGAGAUAGAAAGUUACUUCGGUACAUCGGUGACAGGUGGUGCAUGGUUGUCGUCAGCUCGUGUCGUGAGAUGUUGGGUUAAGUCCCGCAACGAGCGCAACCCCUAUUGUUAGUUGCCAUCAUUCAGUUGGGCACUCUAGCGAGACUGCCGGUAAUAAACCGGAGGAAGGUGGGGAUGACGUCAAAUCAUCAUGCCCCUCAUGACCUGGGCUACACACGUGCUACAAUGGUUGGUACAACGAGUUGCGAGUCGGUGACGGCAAGCUAAUCUCUUAAAGCCAAUCUCAGUUCGGAUUGUAGGCUGCAACUCGCCUACAUGAAGUCGGAAUCGCUAGUAAUCGCGGAUCAGCACGCCGCGGUGAAUACGUUCCCGGGCCU